Molecule: ribosomal RNA, 253 nt
Filed under: uncultured bacterium
Lineage: Bacteria
Description: partial 16S ribosomal RNA
Rfam family: Bacterial small subunit ribosomal RNA
Source: RNAcentral
UACGUAGGGCGCAAGCGUUAUCCGGAAUUAUUGGGCGUAAAGAGCUCGUAGGCGGUUUGUCGCGUCUGCCGUGAAAGUCCGGGGCUCAACUCCGGAUCUGCGGUGGGUACGGGCAGACUAGAGUGAUGUAGGGGAGACUGGAACUCCUGGUGUAGCGGUGAAAUGCGCAGAUAUCAGGAGGAACACCGAUGGCGAAGGCAGGUCUCUGGGCAUUAACUGACGCUGAGGAGCGAAAGCAUGGGGAGCGAACAGG